Molecule: long non-coding RNA, 262 nt
Filed under: Capra hircus (goat)
Lineage: Eukaryota; Metazoa; Chordata; Mammalia; Artiodactyla; Bovidae
Description: lncRNA (ENSCHIG00010000333.1)
Source: RNAcentral
AAGCCUGGCAUGCUGCAGUCCAUGGGGUGUCAAAGAGUUGGACAUGACUGAGCAAUUGAACAACAACAAGUAGCUGCCUGCAGUUUUAUGAAAAUGAAACCCAACAAAUUUAAAAGAUUUGCUCAAGAUCACAAAGAUUGCUGACUAAGGGCACACUUGAUCGAGUUCCAUGGUCCUUAUACUCCAAGGAAUAACUUGCAUUGAAACAAAUCUACGUGAACCGGGAACUUCCAGAUGUUCAAGCUGGUUUUAGAAAAGGCAG